AAUGAAGUUCUUGAUCGUAUGGUCUCAAGACUAAACGAAGAAAAUACGUUAGCAGCUGAAGUAGAACAAAACAGCUGGUUGCGUAAAAAACUCUCCUUUCACGCACUAUCUUCAACGGAUGUAAUGGAUUUCCCUGAAAUGACCAAAACUGAAUUAAAAAUAUUCUUCACAGGUACUUACCAAUAUAGUCAGGCAAUUUCAUAUUUGGCAGAAAUGAUGAGAAGAGACCGGAUCUAUAGAUAUGCAUGUUGUUUAAAGACAGAUCCAAUAUAUUAAAAGUUCAAGUUGCAUCACAUCACAUUUCAAGAAAAACAUAUCAUUGCUUCUUAAUGCGGCCACACAUGAUUUUUUUGUCGCCCGUUUUGCCUGAACGGUUUUAAAACGGAAGGUAAGACUG
This 397-nucleotide long non-coding RNA is filed under the name Androctonus crassicauda. Lineage: Eukaryota; Metazoa; Arthropoda; Arachnida; Scorpiones; Buthidae. The record is from RNAcentral.